GAAUGGUCCUCACUAUCCAAGGCCGGUAGAGUAUGAGAUUCUUAAUCUCAGGGUUGUGGGUUUGAGCCCCACUUUGGGCCA
Non-coding RNA from Podarcis lilfordi (Lilford's wall lizard), 81 nucleotides. The record is from the annotation of a GenBank genome assembly. NCBI's taxonomy places the organism in Eukaryota, Metazoa, Chordata, Lepidosauria, Squamata, Lacertidae.